This is an RNA transcript of Arachis ipaensis, 1245 nucleotides long. It is a transcript of the gene named purple acid phosphatase 23-like, with no coding region annotated. NCBI's taxonomy places the organism in Eukaryota, Viridiplantae, Streptophyta, Magnoliopsida, Fabales, Fabaceae. The record is from RefSeq and is a predicted model, not a curated record.
GACCGGUUUAAAAGAAACGGCGUCGUUUUUGCCAAAUUUGCUUACUUUCACUCUUGGUUCUGAAGCUCCUUCGUUUCUUUCUCCCUUUCUCCCUCCCUUUCUUUCAUUCACUCACAGAAACUCAGCCAAAAAACCCUAGCACUGUAAGCCUCCACCACCGCCGCCGCAAGGAGUGGCAUACUGCCGCCGUCCGUCCGUAUCUAGCUUCCCUCGUGCUCCAAGUCUUCAACCCCCGUUCGCUGUCACCGAUCGCAGCUGCUUCCUCGAGCUCGGCGUCCGUCGUCUUUGUCUGCUCAGCCGCGCUUCCGCCGCCGUUGGUUGCCGUUAACGUUCGCGUCUUCGUUCAGCCGUCGUCUUCGUUCGCGUUCUUCGCCGUUCAAAUUUGCUCGGGGUUCACCGUUCGCGUUCACUCGCCGUUCACCGUUCGGGUUCGCGUUCGUCUGGAAGCCACGUUGCCCUGCUUCAAACUCUGGGACCAACCCGCGCGCUCCACCUAGCCGUCGAACUGCUCUCUUUUGUCGCCGCCCCGCUGAAGCAUUCUUCUUCAAGAACAGCCACCGCGUCGCCGCUGGCCUCGCCACCGCUAGAAAAAUCAAAGAACGAAGAUGCCGCCUCUCCUGGGUUGCUGUCGACCUCAACCAUCAACUCCUCGUCCGAACUGCUCUGACCCAAGUAGAUCUAUCAAAGGUGGAUAGGAAAAGGACACCUUGGCUGGUUGUGUUGUUUCAUGUACCAUGGUAUAAUAGUAACAAGGUUCAUCAAUGAUUAACUCAACUCAUGCUUACUGGAGUUGGCACAGGAAUGAUGAUGACGAGUCAGUAAAAACUGAUAAUUUUUGGAUAACCUCUUUGGUUAGCUCGAGAUGUGUUGAUGACAAGAGCCAUGAACUCCGGAGUAUGCUUAUGACACCGUAAAAGCCUCAGAUCCGCCGGUGCCAUCCCUUAACUUGGUGGAUUAGCAAGAGUAUAUAUGACACUGCUAGCAGCUUGAAAGGACUAUAUAGAAUAUAGAUUGAUGAUACUGAAGCAUUUAGCAUAUUGAAACUGGUUCUGAUUGUAUAGUUGUAUAUUUGAAUGCUCAAAAGACAGAGAAAUAUAAUUAAAUCAUCAACUUUUAGUGUAGUGAUGAUGUUCUCUUGGAUGGUGUUACUUGUAUUGUGAGAACUUGUUAUCUUGAUUUGUGUACAUAAGAAGUUUAAGAACUGCUUAUAUAACCGAUGCAAACGUGAGUCUUUGUAUUGAUUUA